This is a non-coding RNA of Pimephales promelas (fathead minnow), 499 nucleotides long. The record is from RefSeq and is a predicted model, not a curated record. NCBI's taxonomy places the organism in Eukaryota, Metazoa, Chordata, Actinopteri, Cypriniformes, Leuciscidae.
GCAGUUUGUGUUUUUAGAAGCAUACGCACCGAUCCCAGGGGACACCACUCGCUCAUAGUGGUCCGGCCAUCGCCACAGACGAGCGUAUAUGACAUGAGGGAAACCCUUCCGCCCAGCCACCUGAGGAGCAAUGACAACACUUUGAUGUCAACAGUACAGUAUUAUAACAGGGUUUAAUUCACACUCUCACAGCUAUGACUUUUUAAACUUUUAGUGUGAUAUUAAUAAUACAAUAUAUUUUACUUAAAUCAUUUCUACAGAGAUUUACAGAGAUUGCUUAAUAUUAAGGGUUAAAAGUUACAUAGAAUUGAGUUACGAACAUUUAGCAAAGAGAAGGAUCCUUUUCUACCUUUUUGUUGAUCAUUUUGUUUUUCUUAUAUCUAUUUAGUAUUAUUUAUUAUGCGCUGACUGAAAAUUUCCCUGGACUGCAUGUAUCCUCAGUAUCAUAUUCAUUCUCCACCCUGCCCCAAGUCUUAACACCGUUCAAAAGAACUAUUCA